GUACUUGCUUCAGCAGCACAUAUACUAAAAUGGAGCAAUACAGAGAAGAUUAGUAGGGCCCCUGGGCAAGGAUGACAAGCAAAUACACAAAGCAUUCCAUAGUUUU
Molecule: small nuclear RNA, 106 nt
Organism: Mastomys coucha (southern multimammate mouse)
Lineage: Eukaryota; Metazoa; Chordata; Mammalia; Rodentia; Muridae
Source: RefSeq, a predicted model, not a curated record